Molecule: ribosomal RNA, 200 nt
Filed under: uncultured bacterium
Lineage: Bacteria
Description: partial 16S ribosomal RNA
Rfam family: Bacterial small subunit ribosomal RNA
Source: RNAcentral
AGAGUUUGAUCCUGGCUCAGAAUCAACGCUGGCGGCGUGCCUAACACAUGCAAGUCGAACGAGAUAGCAAUACCUAGUGGCAGACGGGUGAGUAACACGUAGUCAACCUACCUUUUAGUGGGGGAUAACUAGCCGAAAGGUUAGCUAAUACCGCAUACGAUCUUCGAGAGGCAUCUUUUGAAGAUGAAAGCAGCAAUGCG